Molecule: ribosomal RNA, 279 nt
Filed under: uncultured bacterium
Lineage: Bacteria
Description: partial 16S ribosomal RNA
Rfam family: Bacterial small subunit ribosomal RNA
Source: RNAcentral
CCUGAACGCUGGCGGCGUGGCUAAGACAUGCAAGUCGAACGGGUGUAGCAAUACACCAGUGGCGGACGGGUGAGUAAUGUAUCGCUAACGUGCCCUGGAAUCUGAGAUAGCCAAUCGAAAGGUUGGGUAAUACCAGAUGAAAUAUCCUUAUCGCAUGAUGAGGAUCUCAAAGGAGCAAUCCGGUCUGGGAGCGGGCGAUAUCGUAUCAGCUAGUUGGUGAGGUAACGGCUCACCAAGGCGACGACGCGUAGCCGGGCUGAGAGGUCGGCCGGCCACAUU